Molecule: long non-coding RNA, 259 nt
Organism: Mauremys reevesii (Reeves's turtle)
Lineage: Eukaryota; Metazoa; Chordata; Testudines; Geoemydidae
Exons: 4
Source: RefSeq, a predicted model, not a curated record
CUGAAGCUCAUAUAUCUGGAUGAGAGAGACAGCGAGCGGGACUGUCAUCACCAGGCUACUGAGAGCAUCUCCUGUUUGGGAUGCUGAGAACCUGAAUGACCUUCUUCCAUAAAAAAUCGUUACCUUCUUUGUGCUAUUUAUGAUGCACCAGAUUGCUUUGGGGAGAUGGUUAUGAGAUGCAGAAAGAGAAGAAGACGACAGCUCUGAUCACCCUUUGAUUACACUGAGUUCCUGGCCAACCUUCAGCCAUGAAGAUCCU